GUAGGAUAUCCGCGGCCGUCUGCGCAUGAACGGCGCCUGUUGUUAGAACGAC
This 52-nucleotide small RNA is filed under the name Sinorhizobium meliloti 2011. Its description in RNAcentral is "putative ncRNA". Lineage: Bacteria; Pseudomonadati; Pseudomonadota; Alphaproteobacteria; Hyphomicrobiales; Rhizobiaceae. The record is from RNAcentral.